AUUGAACGCUGGCGGCAUGCCUUACACAUGCAAGUCGAACGGCAGCACGGGAGCAAUCCUGGUGGCGAGUGGCGAACGGGUGAGGUAAUAUAUCGGAACGUGCCCAGUCGUGGGGGAUAACGUAGCGAAAGCUACGCUAAUACCGCAUACGAUCUAUGGAUGAAAGCGGGGGAUCGCAAGACCUCGCGCGAUUGGAGCGGCCGAUAUCAGAUUAGGUAGUUGGUGAGGUAAAGGCUCACCAAGCCGACGAUCUGUAGCUGGUCUGAGAGGACGGACCAGCCACACUGGGACUGAGACACGGCCCACGACUCCUACGGGAGGCAGCAGUGGGGAAUUUUUGGGACAAUGGGCGCAAGCCUGAUCCAG
RNAcentral lists this ribosomal RNA (366 nucleotides) under uncultured bacterium. RNAcentral's name for it is "bacterial SSU rRNA". It matches the Rfam family "Bacterial small subunit ribosomal RNA", at positions 30 to 391 of the family's 1533-position model. The record is from RNAcentral.